This 460-nucleotide ribosomal RNA is filed under the name uncultured bacterium. RNAcentral's name for it is "partial 16S ribosomal RNA". It matches the Rfam family "Bacterial small subunit ribosomal RNA", at positions 338 to 795 of the family's 1533-position model. The record is from RNAcentral.
CCUACGGGAGGCUGCAGUGAGGAAUAUUGGUCAAUGGACGAGAGUCUGAACCAGCCAAGUAGCGUGAAGGAUGACUGCCCUAUGGGUUGUAAACUUCUUUUAUAAAGGAAUAAAACGAGGCACGUGUUCCUUUUUGCAUGUACUUUAUGAAUAAGGCUCGGCUAACUCCGUGCCAGCAGCCGCGGUAAUACGGAGGAUCCGCGCGUUAUCCGGAUUUAUUGGGUUUAAAGGGAGCGUAGAUGGGUUGUUAAGUCAGUUGUGAAAGUUUGUGGCUCAACCGUAAAAUUGCAAUUGAUACUGGAAGUCUUGAGUGCAGUUGAGGUAGGCGGAAUUCGUGGUGUAGCGGUGAAAUGCGUAGAUAUCACGAAGAACCCCGAUUGCGAAGGCAGCUUACUAAACUGUGACUGACAUUGAUGCUCGAAAGUGUGGGUAUCAAACAGGAUUAGAUACCCGUGUAGUC